CGGGUGCACUGAUCCAGCCGGGCCUUUCCCUCUGUGGAACCCCAUGGCCUUCACUGGCUGUGGUGGGGAAACAGGACUUUUACUUUGAAAAAAUUAGAGUGCUCCAGGCAGGCCUAUACUCGAAUACAUUAGCAUGGAAUAAUAGAAUAGGACGUGUGGUUCUAUUUUGUUGGUUUCUAGGACCGCCGUAAUGAUUAAUAGGGACAGUCGGGGGCAUCAGUAUUCAAUUGUCAGAGGUGAAAUUCUUGGAUCUAUUGAAGACUAACUACUGCGAAAGCAUUUGCCAAGGAUGUUUUCAUUGAUAAGGAACGAAAGUUAGGGGAUCGAAGACGAUCAGAUACCGUCGUAGUCUUAACUAUAAACUAUGCCGACUAGGGAUCGGACGAUGUUAUUCUUUGACGCGUUCGGCACCUUUCGAGAAAUCAAAGUGCUUGGGCUCCAGGGGGAGUAUGGUCGCAAGGCUGAAACUUAAAGAAAUUGACGGAAGGGCACCACCAGGGGUGGAACCUGCGGCUUAAUUUGACUCAACACGGGGAAACUCACCAGGUCCAGACACAGUGAGGAUUGACAGAUUGAGAGCUCUUUCUUGAUUCUGUGGGUGGUGGUGCAUGGCCGUUCUUAGUUGGUGGAGUGAUUUGUCUGCUUAAUUGCGAUAACGAACGAGACCUUAACCUGCUAAAUAGCCCGUACUGCUUUGGCAGUUCGCCGGCUUCUUAGAGGGACUAUCGG
RNAcentral lists this ribosomal RNA (729 nucleotides) under uncultured eukaryote. Its description in RNAcentral is "SSU rRNA". It matches the Rfam family "Eukaryotic small subunit ribosomal RNA", at positions 670 to 1426 of the family's 1831-position model. The record is from RNAcentral.